Molecule: ribosomal RNA, 494 nt
Filed under: uncultured bacterium
Lineage: Bacteria
Description: partial 16S ribosomal RNA
Rfam family: Bacterial small subunit ribosomal RNA
Source: RNAcentral
GACGAACGCUGGCGGCGUGCUUAACACAUGCAAGUCGAACGGAAAGGCCUGCUUUCCCUUGUGGAUUGCGGGUACUCGAGUGGCGAACGGGUGAGUAACACGUGAGUGAUCUGCCCCCAACUUGGGUAUAAGCCUGGGAAACUGGGUCUAAUUCCCGAUAGGACUGCAGGGUGGUGCCUGUGGUGGAAAACGAUUUUCUAGUGGUUGGGGAUGAGCUCGCGGCCUAUCAGCUUGUUGGUGGGGUAAUGGCCUACCAAGGCGGCGACGGGUAGCCGGCCUGAGAGGGUGGACGGGCACAUUGGGACUGAGAUACGGCCCAGACUCCUACGGGAGGCAGCAGUGGGGAAUAAUGCACAAUGGGCGGAAGCCUGAUGCAGCGACGCCGCGUGGGGGAUGACGGCCUUCGGGUUGUAAACUCCUUUCGACCGCGAGGAAGCCACCUGGUUGGAAGGGUGGUGACGGUAGUGGUAGAAGAAGCACCGGCUAACUACGUG